UAGGUGUCUGAUGGAAGGAAUGAACAGA
Molecule: non-coding RNA, 28 nt
Filed under: Homo sapiens (human)
Lineage: Eukaryota; Metazoa; Chordata; Mammalia; Primates; Hominidae
Source: RNAcentral